RNAcentral lists this ribosomal RNA (373 nucleotides) under Nitzschia dissipata. RNAcentral's name for it is "SSU rRNA". It matches the Rfam family "Eukaryotic small subunit ribosomal RNA", at positions 594 to 971 of the family's 1831-position model. Lineage: Eukaryota; Bacillariophyta; Bacillariophyceae; Bacillariales; Bacillariaceae. The record is from RNAcentral.
AUAGCGUAUAUUAAAGUUGUUGCAGUUAAAAAGCUCGUAGUUGGAUUUGUGGUUGUCGUUGUCUUUUCCUCUCUUUGAGGGGUAUUGGAUUAGCGUCGCCAUCCUUGGGUGGAAGUUGUGUGGCAUUAGGUUGUCGUGCAGGGGAUGCCCAUCGUUUACUGUGAAAAAAUUAGAGUGUUCAAAGCAGGCUUAUGCCGUUGAAUAUAUUAGCAUGGAAUAAUAAGAUAGGACCUUGGUACUAUUUUGUUGGUUUGCGCACUAAGGUAAUGAUUAAUAGGGUCAGUUGGGGGUAUUCGUAUUCCAUUGUCAGAGGUGAAAUUCUUGGAUUUUUGGAAGACGAACUACUGCGAAAGCAUUUACCAAGGAUGUUUUC